GGCCGCGGGAAUUCGAUUCAGGCCUAACACAUGCAAGUCGAGCGGUAGAGAGAAGCUUGCUUCUCUUGAGAAAGGCGGACGGGUGAGUAAUGCCUAGGAAUCUGCCUGGUAGUGGGGGAUAACGUUCGGAAACGGACGCUAAUACCGCAUACGUCCUACGGGAGAAAGCAGGGGACCUUCGGGCCUUGCGCUAUCAGAUGAGCCUAGGUCGGAUUAGCUAGUUGGUGAGGUAAUGGCUCACCAAGGCUACGAUCCGUAACUGGUCUGAGAGGAUGAUCAGUCACACUGGAAGGGAGACACGGUCCAGACUCCUACGGGAGGCAGCAGUGGGGAAUAUUGGACAAUG
This 346-nucleotide ribosomal RNA is filed under the name uncultured bacterium. RNAcentral describes it as "bacterial SSU rRNA". It matches the Rfam family "Bacterial small subunit ribosomal RNA", at positions 43 to 373 of the family's 1533-position model. The record is from RNAcentral.